RNAcentral lists this ribosomal RNA (253 nucleotides) under uncultured bacterium. RNAcentral's name for it is "partial 16S ribosomal RNA". It matches the Rfam family "Bacterial small subunit ribosomal RNA", at positions 524 to 776 of the family's 1533-position model. The record is from RNAcentral.
UACGUAGGGGGCUAGCGUUGUCCGGAUUUAUUGGGCGUAAAGAGCGCGCAGGCGGUCGUUCAAGUCGAGUGUGAAAGCCCCCGGCUCAACUGGGGAGGGUCAUUCGAUACUGAUCGACUCGAAGGCAGGAGAGGGUAGUGGAAUUCCCGGUGUAGUGGUGAAAUGCGUAGAUAUCGGGAGGAACACCAGUGGCGAAGGCGACUACCUGGCCUGUUCUUGACGCUGAGGCGCGAAAGCUAGGGGAGCAAACGGG